GAUGAACGCUGGCGGCGUGCCUAAUACAUGCAAGUCGAGCGGUAAGGCCCUUCGGGGUACACGAGCGGCGGACGGGUGAGUAACGCGUAAGAAUCUACCCCAAACUGAGGGAUAAGCACCAGAAAUGGUGUCUAAUACCGCAUGUGCUCUACGGAGUAAAGCUACGGCGGUUUGGGAAGAGCUUGCGUAUGAUUAGCUAGUUGGUAAGGUAAUGGCUUACCAAGGCGACGAUCAUUAGCUGGUCUGAGAGGAUGAUCAGCCACACUGGGACUGAGACACGGCCCAGACUCCUACGGGAGGCAGCAGUAGGGAAUUUUCCACAAUGGGGGCAACCCUGAUGGAGCAACGCCGCGUGCAGGAUGAAGGCCUUCGGGUUGUAAACUGCUUUUGUCUGUGACGAAUAUGACGGUAGCAGACGAAUAAGGAUCGGCUAACUACGUGCCAGCAGCCGCCGUAA
Molecule: ribosomal RNA, 457 nt
Filed under: uncultured bacterium
Lineage: Bacteria
Description: partial 16S ribosomal RNA
Rfam family: Bacterial small subunit ribosomal RNA
Source: RNAcentral